AUACGGAGGGUGCGAGCGUUAAUCGGAAUUACUGGGCGUAAAGGGUGCGUAGGCGGCUUGAUAAGUCGGAUGUGAAAGCCCCGGGCUUAACCUGGGAAUUGCAUUCGAUACUGUCAGGCUAGAGUAUGUCAGAGGUUGGCGGAAUUCCUGGUGUAGCGGUGAAAUGCGUAGAUAUCAGGAGGAACACCAGUGGCGAAGGCGGCUAACUGGGGCAAUACUGACGCUGAGGCACGAAAGCGCGGGGAGCAAACAGGAUUAGAAACCCUAGUAGUCC
RNAcentral lists this ribosomal RNA (274 nucleotides) under uncultured bacterium. RNAcentral's name for it is "partial 16S ribosomal RNA". It matches the Rfam family "Bacterial small subunit ribosomal RNA", at positions 523 to 796 of the family's 1533-position model. The record is from RNAcentral.